CCUACGGGCGGCUGCAGUGGGGAAUAUUGCACAAUGGGCGCAAGCCUGAUGCAGCCAUGCCGCGUGUGUGAAGAAGGCCUUCGGGUUGUAAAGCACUUUCAGCGGGGAGGAAGGCGUUAAGGUUAAUAACCUUGGCGAUUGACGUUACCCGCAGAAGAAGCACCGGCUAACUCCGUGCCAGCAGCCGCAGUAAUACGGAGGGUGCAAGCGUUAAUCGGAAUUACUGGGCGUAAAGCGCACGCAGGCGGUCUGUCAAGUCGGAUGUGAAAUCCCCGGGCUCAACCUGGGAACUGCAUUCGAAACUGGCAGGCUAGAGCCUUGUAGAGGGGGGUAGAAUUCCAGGUGUAGCGGUGAAAUGCGUAGAGAUCUGGAGGAAUACCGGUGGCGAAGGCGGCCCCGUGGACAAAGACUGACGCUCAGGUGCGAAAGCGUGGGGAGCAAACAGGAUUAGAUACCCUUGUAGUC
Molecule: ribosomal RNA, 465 nt
Filed under: uncultured Klebsiella sp.
Lineage: Bacteria; Pseudomonadati; Pseudomonadota; Gammaproteobacteria; Enterobacterales; Enterobacteriaceae
Description: bacterial SSU rRNA
Rfam family: Bacterial small subunit ribosomal RNA
Source: RNAcentral